GACAAAGCACACUGGAAAGUCUCGUGGUGAUGUGUGGGGGCAGUCAACAGUCCCUGUAAGUUGCCGGGGUUUUACAAAUGGUAUCAGAGCCUAGCCUCUCCCAGUACGGUGUGGUUCGAGGACGAACCAGACGGAAGCUGGUGGGCAUGUGACACCCGGGCACUAACGAGGGCGGGGAGUGAUCGCCGGUGCAAGAAGCAUGGUGCAGGGGGCACGGACAAGGAGCGGCUCCUGGCAGGCUUCGAGUGGAAGGGGCACAUGGACGAAUCGAACAUACACCGGAAUGAGAGGGAUUUGGAGACUGUAUAGGUAUGGGACUAUACAGUUGAAGAAUAGCUUAAAGGAAUUGAUUUGGCUACCUAUAUCACCAAAAUGCAUUUACUUUUCGGAAGCCUAACCCAUAAGAACUUCAUGGUUAAGCGUGCUUAGCCUGGAGAAAUUUUGGGAUGGGUGACCUUCCGGGAAGUUUUCCCGGAAAGUGUGCGAGUGAGGACAAAGCACACUGGAAAGUCUCG
Molecule: long non-coding RNA, 515 nt
Filed under: Vigna radiata
Lineage: Eukaryota; Viridiplantae; Streptophyta; Magnoliopsida; Fabales; Fabaceae
Description: long non-coding RNA (VRAD_LNC010509)
Source: RNAcentral